GACGAACGCUGGCGGCGUGCUUAACACAUGCAAGUCGAACGGAAAGGCCCUGCUUUUGUGGGGUGCUCGAGUGGCGAACGGGUGAGUAACACGUGAGUUACCUGCCCUUGACUUUGAGAUAACUUCAGGAAACUGGAGCUAAUACCGGAUAGGAGCUCCUGCUGCAUGGUGGGGGUUCGUAAGUUUCGGCGGUUGGGGAUGGACUCGCGGCUGAUAAGCUUGUUGGUGGGGUAGUGGCUUACCAAGGCUUUGACGGGUAGGCGGCCUGAGAGGGUGACCGGCCACAUUGGGACUGAGAUACGGCCCAGACUCCAACGGGAGGCAGAAGUGGGGAAUGUUGCAUAGUGGGCGGAAGCCUAGAGCAACAACGCCGCGUGCGGGAUGACGGCCUUCGGUUUGUAAACCGAUUUCGAUCGUGACGAAGCGUGAGUGACGGUAAUGGGUAAAGAAGCACCGGCUAACUACGUG
This 468-nucleotide ribosomal RNA is filed under the name uncultured bacterium. RNAcentral's name for it is "partial 16S ribosomal RNA". It matches the Rfam family "Bacterial small subunit ribosomal RNA", at positions 28 to 507 of the family's 1533-position model. The record is from RNAcentral.